This 301-nucleotide ribosomal RNA is filed under the name uncultured bacterium. Its description in RNAcentral is "partial 16S ribosomal RNA". It matches the Rfam family "Bacterial small subunit ribosomal RNA", at positions 509 to 809 of the family's 1533-position model. The record is from RNAcentral.
CAGUCGCCACGGUAACACGUAGGGUGCGAGCGUUAAUCGGAAUUACUGGGCGUAAAACGCACGCAGGCGGUCUGUCAAGUCAGAUGUGAAAUCCCCGGGCUUAACCUGGGAACUGCAUUUGAAACUGGCAGGCUAGAGUCUUGUAGAGGGGGGUAGAAUUCCAGGUGUAGCGGUGAGAUGCGUAGAGAUCUGGAGGAAUACCGGUGGCGAAGGCGGCCCCCUGGACAAAGACUGACGCUCAGGUGCGAAAGCGUGGGGAGCAAACAGGAUUAGAUACCCGUGUAGUCCCUGUCUCUUAUAA